CCUCCAGUUACCGACCGAUUACCUUGC
This 27-nucleotide small RNA is filed under the name Bombyx mori (domestic silkworm). RNAcentral's name for it is "ovarian small RNA-4833". The record is from RNAcentral. Lineage: Eukaryota; Metazoa; Arthropoda; Insecta; Lepidoptera; Bombycidae.